UGUUGCGGAAACCGUGCCAGUACAAUGAAUCACUGUUUAAACCGAUUCAAGUCUAAAAUUCAAUCGUAUACAUUUUAGCUGAAUAACAACGAAUUUAUUACGUAUUAAUAUUCAGGUCGUCCCUGAAACGAACCGUUCUAAUUGUAAUAUUUCCCCGGGUGUUUCUAUGGGUGUUUUCCCCUUAUUGACUUUGAAAUGCUUCGGUAACCUACUGGUACACUAAUUUUAUCUUGAAAUCACAUAUUUAUGCCUAGUUACGAGGG
Molecule: non-coding RNA, 263 nt
Organism: Cinara cedri
Lineage: Eukaryota; Metazoa; Arthropoda; Insecta; Hemiptera; Aphididae
Source: the annotation of a GenBank genome assembly